ACGACCUAUUUAAAGAAGAAGCUCGCGGAUCCUUGGUCUCUUUACUUCAGCGGACACGUGUGAGUGGAGGGAGUCGAACACGUCCCCGCUUCGUAAAGCUAAACAUCAUCAUGGGCUCCAGCAUGUUUCCCGACCGGUUUUAUCUGGAUCAAAUGCCGUUGGUUGGACACCUGUAUGAUCCUGAUGGAGGAUGAUGACGGUGGUGUCUGAUCUUCUGAAGAAUGUCCUGCUACUAACAUCACAGUCAGCAGUUACAGCACUGUGACUACUACAGGAAAUGGGUCAGAGAGGACUUCCUGUCUGCAUCAGCGCUGUUUGAAAAGACUCAGGGUUUAAGUUUGGGACGAUUAAACCACAUGAGCUGUUGCAGCAGCUGUGAAAGACCCAGUCAUAGGAAGUGCUCGUGCUUUACAGGUGAGACAUUGGGCUCCUGAAGGAAAGUGGACCAGAGGAACAUCGUCCUCCUGAGACUUAUUUCUAAAUGUGAUUCUAUUUGUAAUGGCUUACAAAUAAUGCAUUAUGAAUCUACCUUGUACUCUAAUUUAAGAAAUAAAAACAUCUUUCAACUCA
Long non-coding RNA from Pleuronectes platessa (European plaice), 570 nucleotides. RefSeq lists it as uncharacterized. The transcript has 4 exons. Lineage: Eukaryota; Metazoa; Chordata; Actinopteri; Pleuronectiformes; Pleuronectidae. The record is from RefSeq and is a predicted model, not a curated record.